RNAcentral lists this ribosomal RNA (206 nucleotides) under uncultured bacterium. RNAcentral describes it as "partial 16S ribosomal RNA". It matches the Rfam family "Bacterial small subunit ribosomal RNA", at positions 1296 to 1500 of the family's 1533-position model. The record is from RNAcentral.
GAUUGCAGGCUGAAAUUCGCCUGCAUGAAGCCGGAAUUGCUAGUAAUGGCAGGUCAGCAUACUGCCGUGAAUACGUUCCCGGGCCUUGUACACACCGCCCGUCACACCAUGAGAGUUGGGGAUACCCAAAGCCCGUGAGCCAACUUUAAAAGAGGCAGCGGUCUAAGGUAGAAUCAAUGAUUGGGGUGAAGUCGUAACAAGGUAGC